This 107-nucleotide small nuclear RNA is filed under the name Tinamus guttatus (white-throated tinamou). Lineage: Eukaryota; Metazoa; Chordata; Aves; Tinamiformes; Tinamidae. The record is from RNAcentral.
GUGCUCGCUUCAGCAGCACAUACACCAAAACUGUAACGAUCCAGAGAAGAUUCGAAUGGCCCCUGUGCAAGGAUGACACACAAAUUCAUGAAGUGUUCCAUAUAUCU